GGCAAGAUGGCCGAGUUGGUUAAGGCGGAAGACUUAAGCGUUGCACGCAGUUUUCUUCUGGAGCAAUCCUCGUGGGUUCGAAUCCCACUCUUGUCA
Molecule: non-coding RNA, 96 nt
Organism: Nemania sp. FL0031
Lineage: Eukaryota; Fungi; Ascomycota; Sordariomycetes; Xylariales; Xylariaceae
Source: the annotation of a GenBank genome assembly